UUCGUACGAAGGUGUCCUAGUGGCGAACGGGUGAGUAACACGUUGGUGACCUGCCCCGAAGAGAGGGACAACCCCGGGAAACCGGGGCUAAUACCUCAUGUGCUCCAUGGUGUUAGAGGACCAUGGAGGAAAGGGAGCAAUCCGCUUCGGGAGGGGCCUGCGGCCCAUCAGCUAGUUGGUAGGGUAACGGCCUACCAAGGCGACGACGGGUAGGGGACCUGAGAGGGUGGUCCCCCACACUGGUACUGAAACACGGACCAG
Molecule: ribosomal RNA, 261 nt
Filed under: uncultured bacterium
Lineage: Bacteria
Description: partial 16S ribosomal RNA
Rfam family: Bacterial small subunit ribosomal RNA
Source: RNAcentral